CCUCAAACAGCAAACACUCCUCAAAAACAGUUUACUAUGCGGUCACGUUGCUUCAAAGAAAGGAUGAGGAGCCCAACUGAAAAAAAAUAAAGUAUAGUAAUUGGAAAAUAGCGUUUAGUCACAGAGGAGCUGUAAAAACAAUAGAGGAUGCUCCGAGAUCUGAAAGCCUCUGUGGUUCAGUAAGGUUUCUCUCCCGGGAGGUUUCUUCUUUUUCUCUCGUUGAGGUGCCACAGUCCCUGUCAAGACGGACACCUCCCGCUGACUCCUACUCCCAGCCAACAGCCAAAUUGGUAAAACCCUCCCUCAGACCCCAUUACAAUAAUUCUUUCUUCCUUUUUUCUUUCUUUUUUUCAGCCUUUGCCAGGAAUAUCUUCAUGUGGAAUUUGCUGAGAUGUUGCAACUUCUAUUCAGUUCAUUUCAAGUCAGGACAAUGAAACAGUGCAGGGCAGGGUGCUGAAGCUGGAGAGGAUCACAGAAGGGAGAAGUUCAUACAUUUAUGGUCACUUCGGACUGCUGAAUUUCACUUUCACAUAUUGCAGCACAGUACUCGUGGAACAGGCUUCGGUGCAAUUUCCCAUGGACACAGGACUUAUGCAACCAGUGUGCUGCCUGGCCAUGCAGAUCUCCGACUCCCUCCCUCUCUGUCCACCCUCCUGCCUCCAGCAAUCCCUGAACACAUCUGAUCUCUGCCACCAGGAGCACAGGUCUCACAAACAGCCUACGGCUUUCAUGACUGCAAGCUGCUCCUCGGUGAGGAGAGGCAGCUCGUUGUGCCAGCCCAGGGUGAGCUUACACCUCAUUAGAAACCAGAGAAACCACAUGGGAGGUGAUCUCACAAAUGCUCCAGCUGUGGGAAAAGAUUCAACUGUGGCUUCUCCAUCAACAUGAGAUGCAAAUCCCAGGGACCUGAGCUUCACUUUCAUUCAGGCUCCUGGAGAGGUGGCCUUUAUUUGCAUUGAAGAAGAGGAAAUGGAAGGACUCAGAAGACUGGUGGCCAGAAGAGGAGCAGGAAGACCCUGCAUGUCCAGUAGACCAGAGACCCUACAAGUCUAAGGCACAGAGACCUGAUAAGUCCAAAGAGACUGGCAGCCAUUCUUACUAAUUUCUUGCUGAAAUGUGGCUCUGGAGAGUUUUGUGAAACUGGAGAGCAUUAUGUGUUUUUGACUGGACCUCAUACUCUAACAUCUUGCUUCCCUGAGCUGCCAUAUCAGCAUGUUAUUUUCUAUACCUUUUCCUUGCACUUCAGACAUUUAUUUUGUGUUCCAAUCUCCUCCUCCAUGUCUACAACACAUCCUUAACCCUCAUUUCCACACUCCCACAUAAUCUACUGGAAGGGUGAUUUUUUUGGCAUUUGUGAGCGGUGUUAACAAGGAUCAGAUGGUGCCAUUGUUUAUGAAAGAACCAGGUUUCCUUUACCAGCUGUGGCAUGCACCAGUAAAAAAAAAAACAUCCAGCAGUGUGGACUUUACAGUGGAGUUCUUGUAUUUAGCAGGUGAAAAGUCAAUACUCUACCUGUAAUGAGAUUCGGUCAUGGAAAACCCCUUGAAGUUGUUUUUAGCAACGAGGCAUUAGUCACCCUUGGACAGCUGCUGGCCACUCGGCGCUUCUGGCUCGCACCGCGCCACGUGCAAGGGCUGUUUUGAAGGCUGCUCAGUGUUAAUGGUGACUCUUGCUACGCCUCAGGUGUUGAGUUUAAGCACAUGGUUUCUGGUUAUUUUAGGAAAACAUGAGCUCAUGUUCCAAGCAGCCUUCCCUCCAGUGAGAAGUUCAUUGCAGCCCAUCCCUGUGCAUGGGGCUGGGGAUGGUUAUACCCCGUGUCUUUGGGGGACUAGUGUGCCUUGGGUUUUCUUCCAAGUCUGGGGAUAUGGGAUGGUGUGAUGAUGAAGUGGUGAGAUGAUGCAGUGCUGUGAUGGGGCUGUGCUGGGGAGUGCCUCCAAAAGCAUCACCAGAAGCCUGAUGGCCACCCAAAGCAUUUUGCUACGCCCAAUGCCCUUGUGGGUGGUAGCCUGCCCAUGCUGAGGAACUGAGGGUGUGUUUGGAGGAUAUGAAGAGGUUGGUCAGGGAACUCAUGGAAAUGCAAGUGCAAGGGCUGAGAAAAAGGUGCUUUCUGUGUCAUAGACAUAGGUUAGGCAAAGAGGAGACAGCAGAGAGGUGAGAUCAUGGAGCAAGGAGGAGUGGAAUCUAUUAGAGCAUCAAAUGGCUGGAUUAAGUCAUACCACGUGAAGGCUAAGGCAGCUCCUAAAGAAAGGGAAAAUACAGGUGAUGAAGGAAGAAGUCAGUUUAACAGACCUGAAAUCUGGCCUGCCUGCAGAAAUGCGGGCUUGGAGCAAUGACCUUCUUUGGGAAGAAAAGGAUAAGCUGCUGACCAGUGGAUGCUUACCCAUUUCCUCCACCCCAUGGCUUCCCCCAGUCUCCAGCAUUGGCUGAGUAGGAAGGGACCUUUGCUCAAGGAGAGUGCUGGAUUUUCUGGCUGGUGGACAAGGGCAAGGAAGACCUGGUGAGGACAGUUCUUGCACUAGAUAUGGAGAGUGGGGAUCCAUGUUGAUGAGUGUCAGGAACUAGUGAGGGGGAACCACAAAAAAUGGUCAGCAAGGGUCCUGUCUCUGGGACCAGCCAACCCUUUACUUCCUCUGCAGCUCAGGCAGAGUUUGCAGAGAAGAGAGUCUGAUAAUACAUUGUCCCCACUUUAUAAGCAAAUAUCUUGAAAUAAUACAUACAGCUUUUGCUGAUAUCUUCAUCAUAGAGCAAUCUAAGGGUGUGCGUAGCUUGGAUCUGACAAGCAGAUCUCAGAAAACUUCUUCUGAUAGAGAGUGCAUUUAAAUGGAGAUGACAGGGAGAAUUUCAAUUUCAAUUUCUUCGAUAGAUAUGACCAAAAAAACAGAGCAAAUGUGAAAGUGUUAGAAAAGAAACAGAAUUUCAUUUAGACAUCUUGUGUUGAAACAUUGUGAUGUCUUUCUUUGAGAACUUUCAGAGCCACUGUACCCCUCAUUCAAGACACUUAGAAAAACCAAGACAUGAGAACAGCAGAAACCAGGCAGAACAGUCUUGUUGAGGCUUCUUGAGAGAGGAAAAGUGGUUGUUUCAGCUGUUGAAUUAUUCCUUCAGUUCUACUGCUCAAGUUCUCCUGAGUUGCUCCAGUGGCACCAUGGAGUCUUAAAUCUAGCCAAAGGAUUCUCGUGGUGCAGGGAAACCCCUGUGUAGCCUCAAGCCAGGGAAGUUGUUUAAGUGAGGCUACAGUUGUGUUUAGACCAGGAAUGGUUCUCUGUAUAGGGCUGGAAGCAUGUGGAAAGGCACAAUGCAGCUGAGAAGUUCCCUCCUCUGUUUCCAUUUUGUGGCUUCUGCAAUAAUCUGUCAAAGGAACCUUAUAAACCCCUAAGUGGUGGGGUUUUUAAAGCAUGGCUGUUAUGGUAAUGGUUUAAUGCUGCCUCCUUUGUUAUGUGUUAAUGGUGCCUUCCUCUUAAGUCUACUAAUAAAAGAAACUUAAACAUCAAUGUGAAAGUCCUUGUAAAGUUACAAAUCAAACACAUUUGUGCUGUUUUCCCUGACAGGCAAGACACUGGCAUGCCUCUGCGUGGGGUUUAGCAUCAGACCUUAACCAGGGAGCUGCAUGCCCACUGCUGUGCAUUUGGGGUCACCUGUUCCACAUAUGGGGCAGAGCCGUAAAGGAGUGUUUUACACAGUGAAAAGUCUCUUAAACUUAGGUGAGAAGGGGAGGAAAGGGAAAGGAUGGGGAAAGUUUAGACAGAUGAGGAAUAAUAGAGAUGAAUCCGGAUAGAAUGAUUCAUCAUCUCUAUCACACUUUGAUGAUCUCCUUAAUAUAACUUUUGAAUCAGACUGUGGAAUAUAUUCACAGAGAAGUUUUUCCUCGUGAGUGAGUUCUCCAGACUUAUUCACGGGUGUAUGGAAAAC
This is a long non-coding RNA of Gallus gallus (chicken), 3909 nucleotides long. The record is from Ensembl. Lineage: Eukaryota; Metazoa; Chordata; Aves; Galliformes; Phasianidae.